GGAUAACCGUGGUAAUUCUAUGGCUAAUACAUGCGCAAAUAUCCUUUUUCGCAAGAAAGAGGAUAGUGUUUAUUAGAUACAGAACCAAUACACCAUCUGUUUAUCAGGUGGUGUAAAAAAGGUGAUUCAUAGUAACCGAACGGAUCGCAUUAUGGUCAUUUUAUAUGGCUGGCGAUAGAUCAUUCAAGUUUCUGACCUAUCAGCUUUCGACGGUAGUGUAUUGGACUACCGUGGCAGUGACGGGUAACGGGGAAUUAGGGUUCGAUUCCGGAGAGGGAGCCUGAGAAACGGCUACCACAUCUAAGGAAGGCAGCAGGCGCGCAAAUUACCCAAUCCUGACUCAGGGAGGUAGUGACAAGAAAUAACAACACUGGAAAUUUUAUUUCUAGUGAUUGGAAUGAUGGGAAUUUAAACCCCUUUCAGAGUAACAAUUGGAGGGCAAGUCUGGUGCCAGCAGCCGCGGUAAUUCCAGCUCCAAUAGCGUAUAUUAAAGUUGUUGCAGUUAAAAAGCUCGUAGUUGGAUGUCUGCUGGAAGCAAUCAGUCCGCCCUAUUUGUAGGGUGUGCACUUGAUGAAUUCUGGCAUCUAUGUCCCAAUAAUGUGGUGGUGUAUACCCUGUGUAUUACCCAUCUAUAUUGGGAUAAUACCGUUACUUUGAGAAAAUUAGAGUGUUUGAAGCAGGCUAAUUGCCUUGAAUACUGCAGCAUGGAAUAACAAUAUAGGAUUUCGGUUCUAUUUUGUUGGUUUCUAGGACUGAAAUAAUGAUUAAUAGGCACAGUUGGGGGCAUUCGUAUUUAACUGUCAGAGGUGAAAUUCUUAGAUUUGUUAAAGACGAACUACUGCGAAAGCAUUUGCC
This 855-nucleotide ribosomal RNA is filed under the name Sarcocystis levinei. RNAcentral's name for it is "SSU rRNA". It matches the Rfam family "Eukaryotic small subunit ribosomal RNA", at positions 141 to 959 of the family's 1831-position model. The record is from RNAcentral. Lineage: Eukaryota; Apicomplexa; Conoidasida; Eucoccidiorida; Sarcocystidae.